AAGGAAUGUACUCAGCCAAAGAGCUUGGCGUCCCCUGGUGGCCAUGGAAACACAGCGCCUGCACCCCACCCCCACCCCCGGCCAGGAUCUGCAGCGGGCAGAGAAGCCCGCGCUGGACGUCGCCCUCCUGGUACCAAAGAUUAAACCCAGCGACUAGGACAUGCUGGGCAAGCCCUCUACACCUGAGCUACGCUCCAGACCUUUUAAUUUGAGACAGGAUCUCACCAAAUUGCCCAGGCUGCCCUUGAAUUUGAGCCGCUUCCAUGUCAGUCCUCCAAGCACCUGGGACUGCAGGUGUGCACCAGCACAGCUGGCUUUAAGCAUCUUGCCUGACUCCCAAAGGAUCAUACAGUCAUUUCAAGUUAUGAUUAUGAAGAUCAACGAAGCAACAUGGAAAAAUCUUAUGAUGUAAAGUGAAGAAUGCAGGAAUCCAACCAUCUUGGAAUAUGAACCGACCUUAAGGAUGAACAAAAAAAGAAAAUGAGCCAGGAUUUCUAAUGAUGUAGUAGAGCUGCCCUACCAGUUUGACUCCUUUCCUCUCAGGUUGCUUUUACAUUUUACAUAUCUCGCUUUAAGGCAAGUAUUUGGGA
Molecule: non-coding RNA, 590 nt
Organism: Heterocephalus glaber (naked mole-rat)
Lineage: Eukaryota; Metazoa; Chordata; Mammalia; Rodentia; Bathyergidae
Source: RefSeq, a predicted model, not a curated record